GGCCCUGUGGCGGAAUUGGCAGACGCAUGGGACUUAAAAUCCCAGGCCCGGCAACGGGCGUGUGGGUUCGAUCCCCACCGGGGCCA
RNAcentral lists this transfer RNA (86 nucleotides) under Planctomycetales bacterium ZRK34. It matches the Rfam family "tRNA". From Rfam's summary of the family: Transfer RNA (tRNA) molecules are approximately 80 nucleotides in length. Lineage: Bacteria; Pseudomonadati; Planctomycetota; Planctomycetia; Planctomycetales. The record is from Rfam by way of RNAcentral.